CUAUUACGAUUCGCUGUAGUCAUGCUUUCGAAAAGAGUAUAAAAUGGAAGGGCCAAGCCCAAGUGAUAUCUUCGUUUUAACGGAAGCUAAAAUCAACAUGAAACUGAUACUUCUCUCUGCUGUGCUAGCUAUCUUAGCGUCGGGCUGCUAUGCUUCUACUGAUAGCAUUUACGAUCUAAUGAAGACACAAACACCACUACCGGUAUCAUAUACGAUCUAUUGAAGACAGAAACACCACUACCGCUACCACUAAAACCACAAUAGUAACAGCUAUAAUUGGUUUUAGAUAUAUAACGCAUAUUCAAAUAUACAAUUCAUAAUCGGCAAAUAAAUUGAGCUUGUCCAAUUUAAGUCUACAAAUUGGUUUUGAACUAAACCAGCUUGA
Molecule: small RNA, 385 nt
Filed under: Drosophila mojavensis
Lineage: Eukaryota; Metazoa; Arthropoda; Insecta; Diptera; Drosophilidae
Description: GI26302
Source: RNAcentral